AGGCUGGAUCACGCGGUAUGGCAUCUGCUCAGGGUUACUACCAUGGUUGAUUACUGCGGCUUGUCUUUUGCGUACUUCUUGUUUCCUUGGUGGGUUCGCCCACCACUAGGACAAACAUAAACCUUUUGUAAUUGCAAUCAGCGUCAGUAACAAAUUAAUAAUUACAACUUUCAACAACGGAUCUCUUGGUUCUGGCAUCGAUGAAGAACGCAGCGAAAUGCGAUAAGUAGUGUGAAUUGCAGAAUUCAGUGAAUCAUCGAAUCUUUGAACGCACAUUGCGCCCUUUGGUAUUCCAAAGGGCAUGCCUGUUCGAGCGUCAUUUGUACCCUCAAGCUUUGCUUGGUGUUGGGCGUCUUGUCUCUAGCUUUGCUGGAGACUCGCCUUAAAGUAAUUGGCAGCCGGCCUACUGGUUUCGGAGCGCAGCACAAGUCGCACUCUCUAUCAGCAAAGGUCUAGCAUCCAUUAAGCCUUUUUUUCAACUUUUGACCUCGGAUCAGGUAGGGAUACCCGCUGAACUUAAGCAUAUCAAUAAGGCGGAGGAA
This 542-nucleotide ribosomal RNA is filed under the name fungal sp. RNAcentral's name for it is "eukaryotic LSU rRNA". The stretch from base 166 to 319 matches the Rfam family "5.8S ribosomal RNA". The record is from RNAcentral. Lineage: Eukaryota; Fungi.